Molecule: ribosomal RNA, 253 nt
Filed under: uncultured bacterium
Lineage: Bacteria
Description: partial 16S ribosomal RNA
Rfam family: Bacterial small subunit ribosomal RNA
Source: RNAcentral
UACGGAGGGUCCAAGCGUUAUCCGGAAUCAUUGGGUUUAAAGGGUCCGUAGGCGGUUUUGUAAGUCAGUGGUGAAAGCCCAUCGCUCAACGGUGGAACGGCCAUUGAUACUGCAAGACUUGAAUUAUUGGGAAGUAACUAGAAUAUGUAGUGUAGCGGUGAAAUGCUUAGAGGUUACAUGGAAUACCAAUUGCGAAGGCAGGUUACUACCAAUAUAUUGACGCUGAUGGACGAAAGCGUGGGGAGCGAACAGG